Molecule: ribosomal RNA, 1333 nt
Filed under: uncultured bacterium
Lineage: Bacteria
Description: bacterial SSU rRNA
Rfam family: Bacterial small subunit ribosomal RNA
Source: RNAcentral
CACUAACGCUGGCGGCGCGCCUAACACAUGCAAGUCGAACGAGAGAUGAGGAGCUUGCUCUUCAAAUCGAGUGGCGAACGGGUGAGUAACGCGUGAGGAACCUGCCUCAAAGAGGGGGACAACAGUUGGAAACGACUGCUAAUACCGCAUAAGCCCACGGCUCGGCAUCGAGCAGAGGGAAAAGGAGCAAUCCGCUUUGAGAUGGCCUCGCGUCCGAUUAGCUAGUUGGUGAGGUAACGGCCCACCAAGGCGACGAUCGGUAGCCGGACUGAGAGGUUGAACGGCCACAUUGGGACUGAGACACGGCCCAGACUCCUACGGGAGGCAGCAGUGGGGAAUAUUGCACAAUGGGGGAAACCCUGAUGCAGCGACGCCGCGUGGAGGAAGAAGGUCUUCGGAUUGUAAACUCCUGUUGUUGAGGAAGAUAAUGACGGUACUCAACAAGGAAGUGACGGCUAACUACGUGCCAGCAGCCGCGGUAAAACGUAGGUCACAAGCGUUGUCCGGAAUUACUGGGUGUAAAGGGAGCGCAGGCGGGAGAACAAGUUGGAAGUGAAAUCCAUGGGCUCAACCCAUGAACUGCCUUCAAAACUGUUUUUCUUGAGUAGUGCAGAGGUAGGCAGAAUUCCCGGUGUAGCGGUGGAAUGCGUAGAUAUCGGGAGGAACACCAGUGGCGAAGGCGGCCUACUGGGCACCAACUGACGCUGAGGCUCGAAAGUGUGGGUAGCAAACAGGAUUAGAUACCCUGGUAGUCCACACCGUAAACGAUGAUUACUAGGUGUUGGAGGAUUGACCCCUUCAGUGCCGCAGUUAACACAAUAAGUAAUCCACCUGGGGAGUACGACCGCAAGGUUGAAACUCAAAGGAAUUGACGGGGGCCCGCACAAGCAGUGGAGUAUGUGGUUUAAUUCGACGCAACGCGAAGAACCUUACCAAGUCUUGACAUCCCUUGACGAUGCUGGAAACAGUAUUUCUCUUCGGAGCAAGGAGACAGGUGGUGCAUGGUUGUCGUCAGCUCGUGUCAUGAGAUGUUGGGUUAAGUCCCGCAACGAGCGCAACCCUUAUGGUCAGUUACUACGCAAGAGGACUCUGGCCAGACUGCCGUUGACAAAACGGAGGAAGGUGGGGAUGACGUCAAAUCAUCAUGCCCUUUAUGACUUGGGCUACACACGUACUACAAUGGCGUUAAACAAAGAGAAGCAAGACCGCGAGGUGGAGCAAAACUCAGAAACAACGUCCCAGUUCGGACUGCAGGCUGCAACUCGCCUGCACGAAGUCGGAAUUGCUAGUAAUCGUGGAUCAGCAUGCCACGGUGAAUACGUUCCCGGGCCUU